Long non-coding RNA from Acomys russatus (golden spiny mouse), 524 nucleotides. RefSeq lists it as uncharacterized. The transcript is spliced from 3 exons. The record is from RefSeq and is a predicted model, not a curated record. Lineage: Eukaryota; Metazoa; Chordata; Mammalia; Rodentia; Muridae.
CUCUCCGGCCCGCCUCCCCCGUGGGGCGGCCCUGCGCGCCACCCGAGACGUCACUUCCGUCUGCGUCGGCGCGCUGAUAGGUUCUCCUGGCAGUGUGGCUUGCAGCGGUAUCGAACGCCAUUCUUUUCCUACACGUCCCACCACCUCUGAAGAACUAGACAUGGAUAAGCCAAAUCCAGUCAGAUCAAUGAUCUCCAUGUGCCUGCUUUGAACAGCACAAUGAGACUAGAGCCAGAAGCUCACUUUAAAAUUAGCUAUGAAGAACAGAACAUUUGAAGGUUUUGAUAUGAAGAACUGGACAGUUUUAAAUGACCCAAAAUAAGAUUUCUGAGGAAACAGCUAGUGAAUCAGUCUGUGAAGUUGGAGCUCCUGGGUCACUUGUCUUGACUUCAUUGGUGUCUGGUCAUUUUGCUCUGUCAACAUAUAAACCUUUAAAGGUAAUAUAUAUUUUUACAUUAAAAUAUGUAUGGAAUCUGAAGUGUGCACAAACCAGCUAAAGAUGAUUCUCUGUUCUUUGUUUGAAU